Molecule: ribosomal RNA, 400 nt
Filed under: uncultured bacterium
Lineage: Bacteria
Description: bacterial SSU rRNA
Rfam family: Bacterial small subunit ribosomal RNA
Source: RNAcentral
CCUGAUGGAGGGGGAUAACUACUGGAAACGGUAGCUAAUACCGCAUAACGUCGCAAGACCAAAGAGGGGGACCUUCGGGCCUCUUGCCAUCAGAUGUGCCCAGAUGGGAUUAGCUAGUAGGUGGGGUAACGGCUCACCUAGGCGACGAUCCCUAGCUGGUCUGAGAGGAUGACCAGCCACACUGGAACUGAAACACGGUCCAGACUCCUACGGGAGGCAGCAGUGGGGAAUAUUGCACAAUGGGCGCAAGCCUGAUGCAGCCAUGCCGCGUGUAUGAAGAAGGCCUUCGGGUUGUAAAGUACUUUCAGCGGGGAGGAAGGUGUUGUGGUUAAUAACCGCAGCAAUUGACGUUACCCGCAGAAGAAGCACCGGCUAACUCCGUGCCAGCAGCCGCGGUAAU